RNAcentral lists this transfer RNA (54 nucleotides) under Lardoglyphus konoi. RNAcentral describes it as "tRNA-Asn". Lineage: Eukaryota; Metazoa; Arthropoda; Arachnida; Sarcoptiformes; Lardoglyphidae. The record is from RNAcentral.
CCAAAUAUAGUUAUUUCAUAAUAUCUCUUUGUUAAUGAGAAGGUUUAGUUUUGG